GGCCGCGGGAAUUCGAUUGGAUCGCCCUUAGAGUUUGAUCAUGGCUCAGAACGAACGCUGGCGGCGCGUUUUAAGCAUGCAAGUCGAGCGGCAAGGGCCUUCGGGCCCCUAGAGCGGCGGACGGGUGAGUAACACGUGGACAAUCUGCCCCCCGGCCCGGGAUAGCCCAGGGAAACCUGGAUUAAUACCGGAUGAGACGGGACCCGCGAUGGCGGGACCCGGGAAAGGCGCUGCGGCGCCGCCGGGGGAUGAGUCUGCGUCCCAUUAGCUAGACGGCGGGGUAACGGCCCACCGUGGCGACGAUGGGUAGCCGGCCUGAGAGGGUGGACGGCCACAUUGGAACUGAGACACGGUCCAGACUCCUACGGGAGGCAGCAGCUAAGAAUCUUCCGCAAUGGGCGAAAGCCUGACGGAGCGACGCCGCGUGAACGAAGAAGGCCGUGAGGUUGUAAAGUUCUUUUCGGGAGGGGGAACAACCGUGGCAGGGAAUGGCCGCGGGAUGACGUGAAUCCCGGAAUAAGCCCCGGCUAACUACGUGCCAGCAGCCGCGGUAACACGUAGGGGGCGAGCGUUGUUCGGAAUCAUUGGGCGUAAAGGGCGUGCAGGCGGUCCUGCAAGUCCGGCGUGAAAGACCCCGGCCCAACCGGGGGGACGCGCUGGAAACUGCAGGGCUUGAGUACAGGAGGGGAUGCCGGAAUUCCAGGUGUAGGGGUGAAAUCUGUAGAUAUCUGGAAGAACACCAAUGGCGAAGGCAGGCAUCUGGCCAUGUACUGACGCUGAGACG
RNAcentral lists this ribosomal RNA (784 nucleotides) under bacterium enrichment culture clone NRB-8. RNAcentral describes it as "partial 16S ribosomal RNA". It matches the Rfam family "Bacterial small subunit ribosomal RNA", at positions 1 to 753 of the family's 1533-position model. The record is from RNAcentral.